UGAGCGGCGGACGGGUGAGUAACGCGUGGGAACGUACCCUUCUCUGCGGAAUAGCCACUGGAAACGGUGAGUAAUACCGCAUACGCCCUUCGGGGGAAAGAUUUAUCGGAGAAGGAUCGGCCCGCGUUGGAUUAGGUAGUUGGUGGGGUAAUGGCCUACCAAGCCUACGAUCCAUAGCUGGUUUGAGAGGAUGAUCAGCCACACUGGGACUGAGACACGGCCCAGACUCCUACGGGAGGCAGCAGUGGGGAAUCUUAGACAAUGGGCGCAAGCCUGAUCUAGCCAUGCCGCGUGAGUGAAGAAGGCCUUAGGGUCGUAAAGCUCUUUCGCUGGGGAAGAUAAUGACUGUACCCAGUAAAGAAACCCCGGCUAACUCCGUGCCAGCAGCCGCGGUAAUACGGAGGGGGUUAGCGUUGUUCGGAAUUACUGGGCGUAAAGCGCGCGUAGGCGGAUCAGAAAGUUGGGGGUGAAAUCCCGGGGCUCAACCUCGGAACUGCCUCCAAAACUCCUGGUCUUGAGUUCGAGAGAGGUGAGUGGAAUUCCGAGUGUAGAGGUGAAAUUCGUAGAUAUUCGGAGGAACACCAGUGGCGAAGGCGGCUCACUGGCUCGAUACUGACGCUGAGGUGCGAAAGUGUGGGGAGCAAACAGGA
RNAcentral lists this ribosomal RNA (650 nucleotides) under Salipiger marinus. RNAcentral describes it as "bacterial SSU rRNA". It matches the Rfam family "Bacterial small subunit ribosomal RNA", at positions 92 to 777 of the family's 1533-position model. Lineage: Bacteria; Pseudomonadati; Pseudomonadota; Alphaproteobacteria; Rhodobacterales; Roseobacteraceae. The record is from RNAcentral.